This 470-nucleotide unclassified non-coding RNA is filed under the name Hevea brasiliensis (rubber tree). The record is from RNAcentral. Lineage: Eukaryota; Viridiplantae; Streptophyta; Magnoliopsida; Malpighiales; Euphorbiaceae.
UAAUACUCUCUAAUUAGUAUAUUUUAAAAAGUGAUUUCUCAACAACAAUUCCAACAAUAAUGAUAAAUAGGCCUACAAUCGACUCUUAAGUUAUUGAUGUUGUUUGUCAAAAAGAAAACUACUCCUCUGGAAAUCAAGUGCUCAAUGGCCACUAUGGUCCCAUGGAUGAUGUGUAUAUGACAUAAAGUAGCAUCCUCAUAUCAUUACUCUUCUUUGUCUUCACCAUGAAAAAAAUGAAUUACACACAUUUUCUUUAGCUGUUCUUAAAAUAUCAACGCAUGCUUUUUCUUGCAGUGAAGCAGAAAAUUCAAAAUAUAGCAAAAUUUAGUGGGUGUAAUGCUGUCUUAAGGCAUUUCACGUGCCAUAUAGUGUUCCAUUUUCCAUCUUUUUCAACAUAAAAUGUAUUUUUCACUAGGGCAGGGUUUCUUGAUGUUAUUAUAGCAAAACUUCAAAUACAUUAAUUUCAAGCC